This 324-nucleotide ribosomal RNA is filed under the name uncultured bacterium. Its description in RNAcentral is "SSU rRNA". It matches the Rfam family "Bacterial small subunit ribosomal RNA", at positions 26 to 376 of the family's 1533-position model. The record is from RNAcentral.
AGGAUGAACGCUGGCGGUGUGCCUAAUACAUGCAAGUCGAACGGGAUCUUCGGAUCUAGUGGCGGACGGGUGAGUAACACGUUGGUACCUACCCCUAAGUGAGGAAUAACUGCCCGAAAGGGUGGCUAAUACCGCAUAAUCCCGCAAGGGUAAAGCAGUAAUGCGCUUAGGGAGGGGCCUGCGUCUGAUUAGCUAGUUGGUAGGGUAAUGGCCUACCAAGGCGACGAUCAGUAGCUGGAUCGAGAGGUUGACCAGCCACACUGGGACUGAGAUACGGCCCAGACUCCGUACGGGAGGCAGCAGUAAGGAUCUUCCACAAUGGAC